Molecule: long non-coding RNA, 557 nt
Organism: Rosa chinensis
Lineage: Eukaryota; Viridiplantae; Streptophyta; Magnoliopsida; Rosales; Rosaceae
Exons: 2
Source: RefSeq, a predicted model, not a curated record
GAACUAUACCAUUACUGGUAUCUCAUCGAGACUUGAUUGAUUUUGCAGGGUAAACAUGGUAUCGAGAAACAACCGUUUCAGCUUCCUGAUUUCAUUGCUGCAACUGGUACUGAGAAAAUUAGACAGGGGGAAUCUGCAUUAUGGAGACUUGCCUGGCACACAUUAAAUCAUCAAUGAGGAUCACUAUGGGGCACUCAUCCACCACCUGUCUUUAGUUCGCAACAAACGCUGAAGUUGAUGAACUGCGUAAUGAACUCGCAAAUUAUGAGGUGAAGAACCUGACAAAGUUGGAAAGUGUGCUGGGAUGAAUCAUUGUUGGUCUUUUUUGGGUAUAUGCAAGGUCUGAAGUGCAUUAGGCAAGAUGUUGGUCCUUUUUGGGUUGGCCUGAAUUACAUUUCUUCUAUAGAUGUGAUCAUGUACGGAUGAGACUAUUUUAGCCACAUUUGUAGAUGUUUUUUUUUGGUAUGAGAGAUCCGUAGAUGUGAUCUUUUAUAUUUUUUGGAUACAAUUAGCAUUAUCGGAUCCAUUUAUGGGAUUAUAACAGCUAUUUAUUAUAA